This 442-nucleotide ribosomal RNA is filed under the name uncultured bacterium. Its description in RNAcentral is "partial 16S ribosomal RNA". It matches the Rfam family "Bacterial small subunit ribosomal RNA", at positions 338 to 795 of the family's 1533-position model. The record is from RNAcentral.
CCUACGGGUGGCAGCAGUGGGGAAUAUUGGGCAAUGGGCGCAAGCCUGACCCAGCAACGCCGCGUGAAGGAAGAAGGCUUUCGGGUUGUAAACUUCUUUUAAGAGGGAAGAGCAGAAGACGGUACCUCUUGAAUAAGCUACGCCUAACUACGUGCCAGCAGCCGCGGUAAUACGUAGGUGGCAAGCGUUGUCCGGAUUUACUGGGUGUAAAGGGCUUGCAGUCGGGCGGACAAGUCAGAUGUGAAAUCCCGUGGCUCAACCACGGAACUGCAUUUGAAACUGUCGGUCUUGAGGAUCGGAGAGGCAGGCGGAAUUCCUGGUGUAGCGGUGAAAUGCGUAGAUAUUAGGAGGAACACCAGUGGCGAAGGCGGCCUGCUGGACGACAACGGACGGUGAGGCGCGAAAGCGUGGGGAGCAAACAGGAUUAGAUACCCCAGUAGUC